This 253-nucleotide ribosomal RNA is filed under the name uncultured bacterium. Its description in RNAcentral is "partial 16S ribosomal RNA". It matches the Rfam family "Bacterial small subunit ribosomal RNA", at positions 524 to 776 of the family's 1533-position model. The record is from RNAcentral.
UACGUAGGGUGCGAGCGUUAAUCGGAAUUACUGGGCGUAAAGCGCGCGUAGGCGGCUUUGUAAGUUAGAGGUGAAAGCCCGGGGCUCAACCCCGGAACUGCCUUUAAAACUGCAUCGCUUGAAUCCGGGAGAGGUGAGUGGAAUUCCGAGUGUAGAGGUGAAAUUCGUAGAUAUUCGGAAGAACACCAGUGGCGAAGGCGGCUCACUGGACCGGCAUUGACGCUGAGGUGCGAAAGCGUGGGGAGCAAACAGG